Molecule: ribosomal RNA, 414 nt
Filed under: Triticum aestivum (bread wheat)
Lineage: Eukaryota; Viridiplantae; Streptophyta; Magnoliopsida; Poales; Poaceae
Description: partial small subunit ribosomal RNA
Source: RNAcentral
AUGCGUUCCCCUCGGUUGGAUUGUUCAUCCUUCUUCGUCGAUGGUGUGCUCGUCCGUUGCAAUAGCCUUCGUGUGCUGGAUGAACACUGCCGGUUGAGGUUGGUUUCUUCCUGUUAUGUCCUGCAUCGACAGUCGCAUCUUUCUGCCAUUGCCGUUGAGGUUCAACGAUCUGCUAGGUUGCUGCAUCUGCAACUUUGUGCUAUUGUUCAAGGAAAUAAGCUGGUCAGCUCUGGGGCAAAAGGUCAGCAAAUCUGCUUGGCUGUUCCUCCCAAGGUGAUGAGAGAUUGCUUGUUGCAGAGUACAUGCCUAGAAAGACAUAUAUCUUUCACUGUGAGUAUGUUAACUGCUUGUGAGCAGGCCACUACUUUACAAAGUUUAUUACAGCAGCAAGGACACUAUGCUUUGAAUAGUUGA